This 1478-nucleotide long non-coding RNA is filed under the name Citrus x clementina. RNAcentral's name for it is "Citrus clementina (C. clementina) long non-coding RNA (CCLE_LNC005228)". Lineage: Eukaryota; Viridiplantae; Streptophyta; Magnoliopsida; Sapindales; Rutaceae. The record is from RNAcentral.
AUUUUAAUGAUAAAAAAACUACAUAGUAUUUAUAAGUUUGCAUAAAUUAGUAUUUAUAAAUUUUAUCGGAUGGCAAAAUCUACAGAUCAGAAUGUAGAUAAGAUCCGGAUGCGGAUAAUAUCUGCACGGAUUAUGAGCGAAUAUUACAUAUACUUGAUCCGCAAAAAUUAAAAUUUGACAAUUUAAAAAUAAGAUUAAAUAUUUACAAUUUUACAUUAUAUUGAAAAUUAAUGCAUUUAAUUAAAGUAAUUAAACUAAAAACCAUAAAUUCAUUCUUACUACUUGUUAAUUAAUUCAUCAAUUAAUCAGUCAAAUUUUUGUAAGUCGUCGUUGAGAUUCGGAGAAAUAAAGAGGAUUAAAACCGUUAAAUUCAAUCUUCAAAAUCAGCAGCAACAGCAAUAGCAUGCCAACGGUGGCUACUUGUCUCCGUUCAAAUUAGCCAAGUUGUUAGAUCCAGACGCAUCCUGGGAUAGGGAUCAAUCGGGAGAUGUGUUGCAUUGGAUUCGACAGGUGGUGGCUGUUGCUCUGAUUUUGUACGGCUUGUAAGACAGGAAAAAAAAAACCUAAUUAAAGAAUUGAAUUAAUUUGUAAGCCAAGGAAGAUUACAGAGAUGCAUCCAUGUGUGGUGUGCUUAGCGAGCCAGAGAUGCAGCGGCGUGCCGGCGUUUGAUGACAGCAAGUGCGGUCAGAGGUGAGGCAGAGCAACUGGCGUUCAACGACAGCAAUGCGUGCCCAGCUCUGUGAGGCAACCGGCGUUCGAUGAUAACGACUGCAAGGCAGAUGGCAUUCGACGGUGAGGCAUUUGGGGUUGUUUUCGAUUUCAGCUGCAGCGGCUGCUUGUGAGCGGUGGGGAAGUCGUGAGUGCAUGCGAUUUUAGUUUUAGCUUUUAGGGUUGCUGGGACUAGUUUUUUUUUAGUUUAUAUAUUUUCCAACUGAAAAUUGAUUAAAUUAAUAAUUUAAUUAAAAAUCAGCCGGAUCCGGAUAUCGGCUUUCUGGAUGCAAGCGCAUUCAGAUCCAGAUCUAGAUCCGGAUCCGGAUAUGUGCAUAUAGACUCUGGAUCCGAAUCUUUCGUAUCUUUGCGGAUGAUUCGGAUUUUUUUUUCAUCUCUAAUGACAACAAAGAUACGUAGGGUACAAAAUGUCCUUUUCAUUCAAAAGAUUUGAGCCAAUUAAUGAAUUUGUGUUUUUAUUUCGAAUAUUUUCUAUUUUACGUCUUUCCCUAUUGUUUUAAAGAGAAAAGAAUAUUUUUAUCAUGGUAUGUUAAAAAUUCAAGCAAUACAGUGGCUGACUACCAUAUACCAAGACUUAUAAUGUAGAAGCAAAGAAAAGUAAUUUUGUACAAGUGAUUUUAAAAUAUAAGAAUUAAAGAAAGUAAUGUAAAAGGAAAAAAAUUAAUUUUGUACUAAUUAUUUUAAAACACAAGUAACUUUGUAAAAGUGAUUUUAAUAGUCACUUAAGACUUAUUUAUUAAAUAUCUGGA